ACUCCUACGGGAGGCAGCAGUGGGGAAUAUUGCACAAUGGGCGCAAGCCUGAUGCAGCCAUGCCGCGUGUAUGAAGAAGGCCUUCGGGUUGUAAAGUACUUUCAGCGGGGAGGAAGGCGAUAAGGUUAAUAACCUUGUCGAUUGACGUUACCCGCAGAAGAAGCACCGGCUAACUCCGUGCCAGCAGCCGCGGUAAUACGGAGGGUGCAAGCGUUAAUCGGAAUUACUGGGCGUAAAGCGCACGCAGGCGGUCUGUCAAGUCGGAUGUGAAAUCCCCGGGCUCAACCUGGGAACUGCAUUCGAAACUGGCAGGCUAGAGUCUUGUAGAGGGGGGUAGAAUUCCAGGUGUAGCGGUGAAAUGCGUAGAGAUCUGGAGGAAUACCGGUGGCGAAGGCGGCCCCCUGGACAAAGACUGACGCUCAGGUGCGAAAGCGUGGGGAGCAAACAGGAUUAGAAACCCCGGUAGUCCCAUGA
RNAcentral lists this ribosomal RNA (474 nucleotides) under uncultured organism. RNAcentral's name for it is "partial 16S ribosomal RNA". It matches the Rfam family "Bacterial small subunit ribosomal RNA", at positions 335 to 800 of the family's 1533-position model. The record is from RNAcentral.